CAGUUUCCCCGUUCCAGUGGGGAGAGGAGACUGACCCCGGGGAGUCCCUGGAAAAAGCCUGGAGAGAGACACAGACCCUCGGGAAGUGUGUGGACAGCAUCCAAACCGGAGGCCAGAAAAGUGAUGACAUCUGAGCAACAAGAAGCAGGGGCUGAUCGUGUCCGUGGAAGAAUGAGGGGAUACUGCAGGGGAAUGAAGAGAAGAAGGUGACUGAAUCCAGGAGG
This 224-nucleotide long non-coding RNA is filed under the name Homo sapiens (human). RNAcentral describes it as "HSALNT0071233". Lineage: Eukaryota; Metazoa; Chordata; Mammalia; Primates; Hominidae. The record is from RNAcentral.